GGGGAUUUAGCUCAGCGGCAUAAGCGCCUGCCUUGCAAGCAGGCGGUCGUGAGUUAGAUCCCUGAUACCCA
Transfer RNA from Cavia porcellus (domestic guinea pig), 71 nucleotides. It matches the Rfam family "tRNA". From Rfam's summary of the family: Transfer RNA (tRNA) molecules are approximately 80 nucleotides in length. Their secondary structure includes four short double-helical elements and three loops (D, anti-codon, and T loops). NCBI's taxonomy places the organism in Eukaryota, Metazoa, Chordata, Mammalia, Rodentia, Caviidae. The record is from Rfam.